Brachypodium distachyon (stiff brome) is the source of this 135-nucleotide non-coding RNA. The record is from Rfam. NCBI's taxonomy places the organism in Eukaryota, Viridiplantae, Streptophyta, Magnoliopsida, Poales, Poaceae.
AUCAUACUUCCUCCCUCCAACAAAAAAUGUCUUAGAUUUGUCAAAAUUUGGAUGUAUCUAAACAUGACUCAAUGUAUAAAUGCAUUCAAAUUUGGUCAAAGUUGAGACAUCUUUGUUAGACGGAGGGAGUAUACU